This 73-nucleotide transfer RNA is filed under the name Gemmataceae bacterium. RNAcentral describes it as "tRNA-Phe". It matches the Rfam family "tRNA". From Rfam's summary of the family: Transfer RNA (tRNA) molecules are approximately 80 nucleotides in length. Their secondary structure includes four short double-helical elements and three loops (D, anti-codon, and T loops). Further hydrogen bonds mediate the characteristic L-shaped molecular structure. tRNAs have two regions of fundamental functional importance: the anti-codon, which is responsible for specific mRNA codon recognition, and the 3' end, to which the tRNAs corresponding amino acid is attached (by aminoacyl-tRNA synthetases). tRNAs cope with the degeneracy of the genetic code in two manners: having more than one tRNA (with a specific anti-codon) for a particular amino acid; and 'wobble' base-pairing, i.e. permitting non-standard base-pairing at the 3rd anti-codon position. Lineage: Bacteria; Pseudomonadati; Planctomycetota; Planctomycetia; Gemmatales; Gemmataceae. The record is from RNAcentral.
GGACAGAUAGCUCAGUCGGUAGAGCACAGCCCUGAAAAGGCUGGGGUCGUCGGUUCGAAUCCGACUCUGUCCA